ACCCUAAAGAUUUGGGGUCAAAUCUCGAUCAAAGGAAGGGCAUGUGACGAUCAGGGAAGUCAACUCGGGAGUUUCCGUAGCGUUUCGGGCCAGAGCGAGAGAUCAUAUCGCGCCUGUCCUUUUUCAGCCAGAAACACUUGUUUUCUCGGCGGAAGGGACAGUGCGCUGAUUCAGCAUCCCCCACCGCUGGCCCGAGGCGCUCCGGAGGCAACGAAGCUCCCUGGUCGCCACGGGAAAUUUAGAUUGCGAAGAGCCUCCGCGGGAGUCGGAGCUGGUUUUGGUUGGUUGUUUUCUGGAUACGUCGGUUACGUUGAUCUUGUUCGCCUACAUAGGAAUUAGUUUACUUUUUUUGGUUAGUGAUUUGACGUUAGUUUCGCCCCUCCUCUUUUCGUCGUUAUUAUUCCCGUUCUUUUUUAUAUAUUUUCUUUGAUUUCGAGAGUUUUUUUUUUUCAGAAUACAAGUUUCUUUAGUUCACUUACGAGAAGUCUCUUUUUUUUAUUGUUCUUUCAGACACCCCCCCCUUUUCUUCUCUACACUUCCUCCUUUCAUUCUUUUCUUUUGACUAAGGGCAAGAGGCACGGUCUGGCCGUUGUCUUGAUUGGUCUGGCCAAUCAGCUUUAGUCCCUUCCUUACUACUCUUAUCUAUCCACCUUUUCCUUAGGGCAAGAGGUACGGUCUGGUCGUAUCUUGACUGGUCUGGCCAGUCAGCCCUAGGGGUUUUCCAUUCUUUUCUUUUGUGAGGGAAAGAGGCACAGUCUGGCUGUUGUCUCGAUUGGUCUGGCCAAUCAUCCCUUACGAAAGUUUCUCCUUCGCGACUAUCCACCUUUUCCUUAGGGCAAGAGGUACGGUCUGGCCGUAUCUUGACUGGUCUGGCCAGUCAGCGCUUGUUCAUCAUCUUUUUCUUCACCAACCCCCUUUUCUCCCCCAGAUCUCCCUGUUCUCGCAGAGGGGGUCAUUAUCUUUUUUUUUUCUUUUUUCUUUUUUUUGGUCGCCACAAAUCUGGUGGAGGCUAGCCGGUCUUUUGGAAUUUCUACGUUCCAAACCGUCCCGUUUUUUUUUUAUUUACUUUCGUAGCCAAGCGACCCUCUGCUAUUUUUUUUUUUUUAUUUUUUUUUAUUUUCUCUCUUUCAUUCGGCCCCGUUUUUUUUUUUUUUUCGCUCUUGUCUUUCUUAAGUGUAUUCUCGUGUUGGUUUCUUAAUCUGAAGUGUAGUUGUUUAUUUAAUUGGUCGUUUUUUUCUCUUUUAAAAUUUAUUGCUCAUUUCUGGCUCUCGGGAAAGUAUUCAUUGAUUAAUUCUGAAAUUAUCAUUAUGUGUUACUUAGGACCAAAGAGACAAGAACACCCUAUAAAUCGGGUUAUCGCCAACCCUCCCCUACCUCGCAUACCGCAAGGAAAUGCUCGCGCCGUUGCGCAAUUUAACGCCGUUAUAACCGUUGCCGUAAACCGUGUGCGCACAAACUCACACUAAAUUUUCCUCAUUCGUUGUGCUGUUCAAUUUAUUUAUUAAUUUUUUUUUAUUUUUUGCUUUCAAAAAAAUUAUCUCCUUGGAUCCGCACCAUCAGCCGAAUUACGCGAAGUCAUCGUGGGUUUAUUUGUGUAAAUUAAAUUUAAAUUGCCUUUUGGUUCUUCCCAUUGUUUAACUGUCAGAAACCGAAAAAAAAAAUUAUCUUCCGACCCCCCCCCCCAUCCCUUUGUUAAAAUAUGCGCAAAACACACGCGAGUAAAUGCAUACGCUGAUAGUUCACUGUGGCAUCAACGCGUUCCGAGUUCUUUACGUAGAAUUACUACCACUACUGCAUCAGGCUGGGUUACUUGAACAAGACACCCAUGCACGGAUAAGCACGGUAUAUGAGCAUCUAAACUCACUCCAACCUUCCAUCCUAUUAAAUUACCUCAGAAACGCCUUAAGCAUCC
RNAcentral lists this long non-coding RNA (1912 nucleotides) under Bemisia tabaci. RNAcentral's name for it is "lncRNA ENSSSA2NGG009756". Lineage: Eukaryota; Metazoa; Arthropoda; Insecta; Hemiptera; Aleyrodidae. The record is from RNAcentral.